CACACACACACACACACACACACACACACACACACACACACACACACACACACACACACCUACCUGGUGUUCCCUAAUGAACCCUGACCUCCUGACGAUGGCCUGGAAAGGAGACUGUGCUGAUCCAGAUGUCAUCUCUCACUCUGGGCUCAGAUGGGGUUAAUGUAUCUAAUAUAUAAAUCACAGAUGGGGUUAAUGUAUCUAAUAUAUAAAUCACAGACAGGGUUAAUGUAUCUAAUAUAUAAAUCACAGACGGGGUUAAUGUAUCUAAUAUAUAAAUCACAGAUGGGGUUAAUGUAUCUAAUAUAUAAAUCACAGACGGGGUUAAUUUAUCUAAUAUAUAAAUCACAGACGGGGUUAAUGUAUCUAAUAUAUAAAUCACAGACGGGGUUAAUGUAUCUAAUAUAUAAAUCACAGACGGGGUUAAUUUAUCUAAUAUAUAAAUCACAGACAGGGUUAAUGUAUCUAAUAUAUAAAUCACAGACAGGGUUAAUGUAUCUAAUAUAUAAAUCACAGAUGGGGUUAAUGUAUCUAAUAUAUAAAUCACAGACGGGGUUAAUGUAUCUAAUAUAUAAAUCACAGACAGGGUUAAUGUAUCUAAUACAUAAAUCACAGACAGGGUUAAUGUAUCUAAUAUAUAAAUCACAGACAGGGUUCAUUUAUCUAAUAUAUAAAUCACAGACAGGGUUAAUGUAUCUAAUAUAUAAAUCACAGACAGGUUUAAUGUAUCUAAUAUAUAAAUCACAGACGGGGUUAAUGUAUCUAAUAUAUAAAUCACAGACGGGGUUAAUGUAUCUAAUAUAUAAAUCACAGACAGGGUUAAUGUAUCUAAUAUAUAAAUCACAGACGGGGUUAAUGUAUCUAAUAUAUAAAUCACAGACGGGUUUAAUGUAUUUAAUACAUAAUGUGAUACGGGGACAUGGAUGAGGACAGGGAGGAGAUAAGAGCUGAGCUGUUUGGGGUUGACACACUGAGUCAGAAGCACACACACACACACACACACACACACUCUCACACUCUCACAUACACACACUCACACUCACUCACUCACACUCACACACACACACACACACACACACACACUCACACACACUCACACACACUCUGGUGAGGUUGGUUUGCAUGUGACCCAUAGUAAUGGUGUCAGUUCAGUGUUCAGGUGUGUUGCCCGGGGCAACUGUGAUUGAGUCACGUGAUCAUACUCUGAUCAGAGCUGGAAGC
Molecule: long non-coding RNA, 1221 nt
Organism: Clupea harengus (Atlantic herring)
Lineage: Eukaryota; Metazoa; Chordata; Actinopteri; Clupeiformes; Clupeidae
Source: Ensembl